RNAcentral lists this ribosomal RNA (507 nucleotides) under uncultured bacterium. RNAcentral describes it as "partial 16S rRNA". The record is from RNAcentral.
GCACAGAGUUAGCCGUCCCUUCCUCUUUCGCUACAAUCAGCUCGUCAUCUUUUAAAUAACGAGGUUUGUUCGCAAAUGACAGGGGUUUACGGGCCGAAGCCAUUCAUCCCCCACGCGGCGUCGCUCCAUCAGGCUUUCGCCCAUUGUGAAAAAUUCUCGACUGCUGCCACCCGUAGGUGUCUGGACCGUGUCUCAGUUCCAGUGUGGCUGGUCGUCCUCUCAGACCAGCUACCCGUCUUAGCCUUGGUGAGCCGUUACCUCACCAACUAGCUGAUAGGCCGCGGGCUUAUCGUGAAGUGCCAGGCCUUACGGUCCCCAGCUUUAAGGUUCAGGAGAUGCCUCCCGAAGAUCACAUCCGGUGUUAGCUCGCCUUUCAGCGAGUUAUCCCGGGCUUCACGGCAAAUUACCCACGUGUUACGCACCCUUGCGCCACUCCGACUGCAGAAUAUUGCUACCCCGCAAUCAGCGUUCGACUUGCAUGUCUUAUCCACGCCGCCAGCGUUCGUU